AAGCUGGAAUUGCUAGUAAUGGCAGGUCAGCAUACUGCCGUGAAUACGUUCCCGGGCCUUGUACACACCGCCCGUCACACCAUGAGAGUUGGAAAUACCCGAAGCCUGUGAGCUAACUUAAAGAGGCAGCAGUCGAAGGUAGAGCCAAUGAUUGGGGUGAAGUCGUAACAAGGUACC
Molecule: ribosomal RNA, 177 nt
Filed under: uncultured bacterium
Lineage: Bacteria
Description: partial 16S ribosomal RNA
Rfam family: Bacterial small subunit ribosomal RNA
Source: RNAcentral